Non-coding RNA from Callorhinus ursinus (northern fur seal), 254 nucleotides. Lineage: Eukaryota; Metazoa; Chordata; Mammalia; Carnivora; Otariidae. The record is from RefSeq and is a predicted model, not a curated record.
UUUGAAUGGUAAUGAUUUUAAAAGACAAGUUUCCAAAACACCUAAAAACCACACAUUGUAUCCAUAUUUGUAUCUAGUUGACUUUUAUAUAAACAAUGGCCUUUCAGGCAAUUAACUGGCCCACUAUGAAAAACCAGAGGAACAGUAUUAGUAGGUAAAUCAAUACCAAAGGCAGAUCCAAUAGUGAUUGCAGUCCUACAUUUGAUCUACAUGGACUAUAAAGAAUAUAAAAAUGAGACCCAUCAAAAGAGAAA